UACGUAGGCAGCAAGCGUUGUUCGGAAUUACUGGGCGUAAAGAGUGUGUAGGCGGUGUUCUAAGUCUGUUGUGAAAUCUCCCGGCUUAACUGGGAGGGUGCGGCGGAAACUGGAAUGCUAGAGGAUGGGAGAGGUAAGCGGAAUUCCUGGUGUAGCGGUGAAAUGCGUAGAUAUCAGGAGGAGCACCUGUGGUGUAGACAGCUUACUGGACCAUUUCUGACGCUGAGACACGAAAGCGUGGGUAGCAAACAGG
Molecule: ribosomal RNA, 253 nt
Filed under: uncultured bacterium
Lineage: Bacteria
Description: partial 16S ribosomal RNA
Rfam family: Bacterial small subunit ribosomal RNA
Source: RNAcentral